RNAcentral lists this small RNA (82 nucleotides) under Xanthomonas vasicola. RNAcentral's name for it is "sX9 sRNA". It matches the Rfam family "Xanthomonas sRNA sX9". Lineage: Bacteria; Pseudomonadati; Pseudomonadota; Gammaproteobacteria; Lysobacterales; Lysobacteraceae. The record is from RNAcentral.
AUGUACCACUCGUACACUGCGGUUCCUGCGCGCCGUCCGCGCCCACCUGACGGCUGCUCGCAAGGGCCUGGUGUUGAAGACC